Molecule: long non-coding RNA, 878 nt
Filed under: Mustela putorius furo (domestic ferret)
Lineage: Eukaryota; Metazoa; Chordata; Mammalia; Carnivora; Mustelidae
Description: lncRNA (ENSMPUG00000025503.1)
Source: RNAcentral
AUGUCCGUCCCCCUCACUAGCCACCCCCGGGCCUCUCUGGACUCCCCACCCCUCUUUGUUCCCUUUGUGCCACCCACGGUGGCCACCGCGGCAUCUGUGAAGUGGGCAAGCGCAGGCUGCGUGGGCGGUCAGCGCGGAGGGUGCGCGGGCACUUGUAUUUUUAAACCCCGGCUCUGGCCAGCCUCCGAAGUCAAUCGAGAUGGGGCUGGGGGUGUGGUUUCCUCUGGGCACUGCGGACUCUCAGUGAGAGGGCUGGGGGGCAUCACUGGCAUCGGGAGGUACCCCGCUGAUGCUGCUGACUGGAGGCUCCUCAUUGAUGAAGAAACAUUGGGGCUUUGGGAAACUGAGGCAUGGGAAGAUUGAGUAGAAUCUGAUAUAUACAGCUGGUAAGUAGCGGUAUGGAGAUUUGAACCCAGGCCCUCUGGCUCUGUAAUCCAGAUUCUCAGCCAUUUUACUCCCAAUGUUUCUGGCAGAUGAGAGAAUUUAAUGAGGCAGAGAUGGGGUGUGCGUGGGGAUAGGGGUGAGUUCCAGGCAGAUGGAAUAGAGCUGCAUGGAAAAUGCUGGGUGGUAGGAAGAAUGCAGAGUGUUCAAGGAGCCAGAUGAGGGCCAGUGCAGCUGGCAUGAGUGGUCCAGUGGUAGAUGGGCCGAUUGCAUGGGUCCUACUAGGAGCAUUAGGGUUUAGGUCAGGAUCCUGGCAGAAUGAGCUCUACAGGGCAGGCACUCUGUCUGUUUCCACCCAUGAGUACCCACUCUGAGCACACUGCCUGGCAUGUGGUAGGAGGUGGUGAAUGGCUAACUCAAGAGGGAGAGAACUCCCCUCUCUGCAGAUCUCACCUUGGUUGGCUUCUUCAGUUGCCACUUUCUGUCAAAAUCCCCAG